Molecule: ribosomal RNA, 377 nt
Filed under: uncultured bacterium
Lineage: Bacteria
Description: bacterial SSU rRNA
Rfam family: Bacterial small subunit ribosomal RNA
Source: RNAcentral
UACGUAGGGUGCGAGCGUUGUCCGGAAUUAUUGGGCGUAAAGGGCUCGUAGGCGGUUUGUCACGUCGGGAGUGAAAACUCGGGGCUCAACCCCGAGCUUGCUUCCGAUACGGGCUAACUAGAGGUAUGCAGGGGAGAACGGAAUUCCUGGUGUAGCGGUGAAAUGCGCAGAUAUCAGGAGGAACACCGGUGGCGAAGGCGGUUCUCUGGGCAUUACCUGACGCUGAGGAGCGAAAGUGUGGGGAGCGAACAGGAUUAGAUACCCUGGUAGUCCACACCGUAAACGUUGGGCGCUAGGUGUGGGACUCAUUCCACGAGUUCCGUGCCGCAGCUAACGCAUUAAGCGCCCCGCCUGGGGAGUACGGCCGCAAGGCUAAA